Molecule: RNase P RNA, 301 nt
Filed under: uncultured Saccharofermentans sp.
Lineage: Bacteria; Bacillati; Bacillota; Clostridia; Eubacteriales; Oscillospiraceae
Description: Bacterial RNase P class A
Rfam family: Bacterial RNase P class A
About the family: Ribonuclease P (RNase P) is a ubiquitous endoribonuclease, found in archaea, bacteria and eukarya as well as chloroplasts and mitochondria. Its best characterised activity is the generation of mature 5'-ends of tRNAs by cleaving the 5'-leader elements of precursor-tRNAs. Cellular RNase Ps are ribonucleoproteins.
Source: RNAcentral
GCAUCAGUGCAUGAGGAAAGUCCGGGCUCCACAGGACAGGGUGCCGGGCAGUUCCCGGUGAAGGCAACUUUAAGGAAAGUGCAACAGAAAAGAAAACCGCCCCUUCGGGGUAAGGAUGAAAAGGCGAGGUAAGAGCUCACCGGCGCUGCGGAGACGCAGCGGCCUUGUAAACCCCAUCCGGAGCAACGUCGUGGGUAAGCAUUAACCGUGGUCCGCGGGCUUCAGGAGACGGCUUGAGAUCUGUGGAGACACAGAUCCUAGAUAGAUGAUUGUCAUAUACAGAACCCGGCUUACCGGGCUG